RNAcentral lists this ribosomal RNA (636 nucleotides) under Bacillus cereus. RNAcentral's name for it is "bacterial SSU rRNA". It matches the Rfam family "Bacterial small subunit ribosomal RNA", at positions 164 to 789 of the family's 1533-position model. Lineage: Bacteria; Bacillati; Bacillota; Bacilli; Caryophanales; Bacillaceae. The record is from RNAcentral.
UAAUACCGGAUAACAUUUUGAACCGCAUGGUUCGAAAUUGAAAGGCGGCUUCGGCUGUCACUUAUGGAUGGACCCGCGUCGCAUUAGCUAGUUGGUGAGGUAACGGCUCACCAAGGCAACGAUGCGUAGCCGACCUGAGAGGGUGAUCGGCCACACUGGGCUGAGACACGGCCCAGACUCCUACGGGAGGCAGCAGUAGGGAAUCUUCCGCAAUGGACGAAAGUCUGACGGAGCACGCCGCGUGAGUGAUGAAGGCUUUCGGGUCGUAAAACUCUGUUGUUAGGGAAGAACAAGUGCUAGUUGAAUAAGCUGGCACCUUGACGGUACCUAACCAGAAAGCCACGGCUAACUACGUGCCAGCAGCCGCGGUAAUACGUAGGUGGCAAGCGUUAUCCGGAAUUAUUGGGCGUAAAGCGCGCGCAGGUGGUUUCUUAAGUCUGAUGUGAAAGCCCCGGCUCAACCGUGGAGGGUCAUUGGAAACUGGGAGCUUGAGUGCAGAAGAGGAAAGUGGAAUUCCAUGUGUAGCGGUGAAAUGCGUAGAGAUAUGGAGGAACACCAGUGGCGAAGGCGACUUUCUGGUCUGUAACUGACACUGAGGCGCGAAAGCGUGGGGAGCAAACAGGAUUAGAUACCCUG